ACGCUCGACACCUACGGAAGGCAGCAGUGGGGAAUAUUGCACAAUGGGGGAAACCCUGAUGCAGCGACGCCGCGUGAGUGAAGAAGUAUUUCGGUAUGUAAAGCUCUAUCAGCAGGGAAGAAGAUGACGGUACCUGAGUAAGAAGCCCCGGCUAACUACGUGCCAGCGCGCCGGAGUAUNGNGCGNNGANAG
RNAcentral lists this ribosomal RNA (192 nucleotides) under uncultured bacterium. RNAcentral describes it as "partial 16S ribosomal RNA". It matches the Rfam family "Bacterial small subunit ribosomal RNA", at positions 326 to 536 of the family's 1533-position model. The record is from RNAcentral.